GUAUGAUCUGUCUGAGGCCACGUGUCUGGCACAAUGUGUCUGGGGCUGCAUGCAGUGUCGUCUGGGACUGGUUCUCUACUUCCUGACCUUCCUUUAAAAGGUCACCUUGCUAAAGGGUCGACCUUUAAUGGUAUGGGGUACAAGGACUGUCAGGUGCACGCUGCACGCCUAUUUCCCUCUUUUCAAAUGCAGCGAUCCGUCCCACAGGGUUGAAUAGUACUGGCGUAUUAGUUAUCUGUCCAUGUGUGUGACUUAGGAGUCUAGAGUGUUAAGCGUGCAUUGUUCCAUCCAUCCGUAGGGAGGAGAUUGGAGAGCCCCCCACCUGGGUGGCUCUGACUCGGGGUCCUCUCUGAGGUGGCAGUCAUGAUGUCCAUCGAAAAUGUUUAAAGAUUAAGAUUAAGACGUUCUCCAAGGGGCCCAGUCGUCUGAGGGCUAACCUGAGGUGGGAGGCUGCACUUCCAAGGUGACUCUCAUGCUUCAUGUUAGUCCUGGUCCUCAGGGGACCCCUUCCUUACCACGGGGACCCCUUCCUUACCACGUGCUCCUGACCACAGGGCUUCCCGAGCGCACAGCGUGGCGGCUGGACUCCCACACAGUGACUGACUCCAGAGGAGGCAAGGCUUCCUCCGAGUCCCCAGAGGCCACACGCUGUCAUUUCUGCAAUAUCCUAUUGGUUGCACAGGCCAGCCUGGUCCACUUGGUGGUCAACUACAAAAGGACACGAAUACCAGGAAGCAGGGUCCCUGGGGCCAUCUUGAAGGGUGGCCAACCUGACCCAUCCAGGAGGCCGGGCCCCAGGCAGACCUUCUGUUCUUCCUUCACCUCUUCACGUCAGCAGCCACCUCUGCUUUGAAAUCGGAGACCCAGUCAGAGGACGUCCAGGUCCCUGCUGUCCUCUGCGGCUCAGGGGUGCGGGGGCGUGCUCUCUGUACUGGGUUCUGUUCUCUCUCUCACUGUGAGGGUCUUGGUUCCAAGACCCAGUUUCCCAUCACCCUUUGUCCUGCCCCUGAAGGGAAGGUCAUCUGUCCCUCACCAGGGCCUGCAGCUGCAGCAGGGGCUUCAUUUCUAAAAGGAGCAACACAGAGACGGGUGGCAGUUAGGAGCCCGCGUAGGCUCCGGGCUGAUUAGAAAAAUGUUGUAAAAUAACUGCAGAGAUUGAGGCGCCUCCAAGGGCGUGGCUGGAAUCAGCCUGACAGAGGAUUUCACACCAGGAACGGCGGCGCGGCGUGUGAGAAGUCAAGGCCCCGGCCUCCCAGGUGACUGGGAACCCAGGAUACGGAGGUGCGUCCUUAUGGAUGGUCCAGUUUCACAUUGAAGGGUGGGUUGAGGUUGACGGCAAUGACAGAAAGAGGCAGAAAGGACCGUAAAAUAAAACACUGAGAGGAGAGGAUUCUGUGCUGUGUGGGACGGGAGCAGAG
This 1418-nucleotide long non-coding RNA is filed under the name Marmota monax (woodchuck). Lineage: Eukaryota; Metazoa; Chordata; Mammalia; Rodentia; Sciuridae. The record is from RNAcentral.